GUGGGGAAUAUUGCACAAUGGGCGAAAGCCUGAUGCAGCAACGCCGCGUGAGGGAUGACGGCCUUCGGGUUGUAAACCUCUUUUAGCAAGGAAGAAGCGAAAGUGACGGUACUUGCAGAAAAAGCGCCGGCUAACUACGUGCCAGCAGCCGCGGUAAUACGUAGGGCGCAAGCGUUAUCCGGAAUUAUUGGGCGUAAAGAGCUCGUAGGCGGUUUGUCGCGUCUGCUGUGAAAACCCGAGGCUCAACCUCGGGCCUGCAGUGGGUACGGGCAGACUAGAGUGCGGUAGGGGAGAUUGGAAUUCCUGGUGUAGCGGUGGAAUGCGCAGAUAUCAGGAGGAACACCGAUGGCGAAGGCAGAUCUCUGGGCCGUAACUGACGCUGAGGAGCGAAAGGGUGGGGAGCAAACAGGCUUAGAAACCCGAGUAGUCC
Molecule: ribosomal RNA, 430 nt
Filed under: uncultured Microbacteriaceae bacterium
Lineage: Bacteria; Bacillati; Actinomycetota; Actinomycetes; Micrococcales; Microbacteriaceae
Description: bacterial SSU rRNA
Rfam family: Bacterial small subunit ribosomal RNA
Source: RNAcentral